Molecule: ribosomal RNA, 657 nt
Filed under: uncultured Bacilli bacterium
Lineage: Bacteria; Bacillati; Bacillota; Bacilli
Description: bacterial SSU rRNA
Rfam family: Bacterial small subunit ribosomal RNA
Source: RNAcentral
CUUGCACCGAGCGGAUGAGUUGCGAACGGGUGAGUAACGCGUAGGUAACCUGCCUCUUAGCGGGGGAUAACUAUUGGAAACGAUAGCUAAUACCGCAUAAAAGUCGAUAUCGCAUGAUAUUGAUUUGAAAGGUGCAAUUGCAUCACUAAGAGAUGGACCUGCGUUGUAUUAGCUAGUUGGUGAGGUAACGGCUCACCAAGGCGACGAUACAUAGCCGACCUGAGAGGGUGAUCGGCCACACUGGGACUGAGACACGGCCCAGACUCCUACGGGAGGCAGCAGUAGGGAAUCUUCGGCAAUGGGGGCAACCCUGACCGAGCAACGCCGCGUGAGUGAAGAAGGUUUUCGGAUCGUAAAGCUCUGUUGUAAGAGAAGAACGAGUGUGAGAGUGGAAAGUUCACACUGUGACGGUAACUUACCAGAAAGGGACGGCUAACUACGUGCCAGCAGCCGCGGUAAUACGUAGGUCCCGAGCGUUAUCCGGAUUUAUUGGGCGUAAAGCGAGCGCAGGCGGUUAGAUAAGUCUGAAGUUAAAGGCUGUGGCUUAACCAUAGUACGCUUUGGAAACUGUUUAACUUGAGUGCAGAAGGGGAGAGUGGAAUUCCAUGUGUAGCGGUGAAAUGCGUAGAUAUAUGGAGGAACACCGGUGGCGAAAGC